UACGUAGGGGGCAAGCGUUAUCCGGAUUUACUGGGUGUAAAGGGAGCGUAGACGGCUAAUCAAGUCAGAAGUGAAAACCCAGGGCUCAACUUUGGGACUGCUUUUGAAACUGAGUAGCUAGAGUGCAGGAGAGGUAAGCGGAAUUCCUAGUGUAGCGGUGAAAUGCGUAGAUAUCACGCAGAACUCCGAUUGCGAAGGCAGCAUACCGGCGCCCUACUGACGCUGAGGCACGAAAGCGUGGGUAUCGAACAGG
This 253-nucleotide ribosomal RNA is filed under the name uncultured Lachnospiraceae bacterium. RNAcentral describes it as "partial 16S ribosomal RNA". It matches the Rfam family "Bacterial small subunit ribosomal RNA", at positions 524 to 776 of the family's 1533-position model. The record is from RNAcentral. Lineage: Bacteria; Bacillati; Bacillota; Clostridia; Lachnospirales; Lachnospiraceae.